CCCUUAGAUGUUCUGGGCCGCACGCGCGCUACAAUGAUGCAGGCAACGAGUGCCGCUCCUUAGCCGAAAGGCUUGGGGAAUCUUGAAAACUGCAUCGUGCUAGGGAUAGAUGAUUGCAAUCGUGCAUCUUGAACGAGGAAUGCCUUGUAAGCGUGAGUCAUCAACUCGCGCUGAAUACGUCCCUGCCCUUUGUACACACCGCCCGUCGCUCCUACCGAUUGGAUGGUCCGGUGAACUGGUCGGACUGCUGUUUGAAAUUGCGGGUGCAGUUGAUUCACGGGAAGUCUAGUAAACCUUAGCAUCUAGAGGAAGGAGAAGUCGUAACA
This 326-nucleotide ribosomal RNA is filed under the name uncultured eukaryote. RNAcentral describes it as "partial 18S ribosomal RNA". It matches the Rfam family "Eukaryotic small subunit ribosomal RNA", at positions 1470 to 1796 of the family's 1831-position model. The record is from RNAcentral.